AUGUCACGCACCUCAUCCAGCGCCGCCACCUCCGCGGCCCCGCUGUUUCGGGAGUACCGCGUGCACCACGUCACCACCGAUGGUAUCCUUGUGCAGCUGCCCGAGACGAGGGGCUUCGGCCGCCUCACCACCGCGACUCUUGGCGAUGAUCUGCUGGCCAAGCGUCUCCUCACGAGCCUCUCGGCCCGCGAGCAGGUGAUUGCCAUGCCGAUGCGCUUGCGCGACGCGCAGGGGUACCGGCUGCUGACAGUAGAUUUGAAGGAGGGUUUUAGCGCGAUACUCACCUACCCCGAGCCUGUGCGCCGCCUCGUGCAGAGGCUCCUGCGCAAGCACAUGCUGGUGGGGCUCGGCACUACUGCCGCGGCUCGCCUCGUGCGCGGCUCUGCAAAGGGCUCAGUGCUCACUAUUCAGCCUCGCAUGACGGCUGUGGCGGCACUGGAGGACCUCACCAAGGGUGACUCCUCCGCAUCCCUCAAGUCGUUUAGCGGGGCCGCCGCUCGUGCCCAGCAGAGGCAGAAAGGCCGUGGCGACAACGGUAUCAGCAGCGACGACGAUGAGUGCCACGUAGAUCGCGCGCAAGAGAGCGGCACGCUGGGCGUGAGCACAGAGAGAAACAAGGCCACAGCCGACGGAAACAUCAUAGAGGUGCGCAUUCUCAACUACGACGUGAACGCUGACGUCGUCAAUGUGACAGCGAAGGCGAAGGUGGUGGAGGGCACGCCGGUCGACACGGCCGUGUCCGCGGCGGCGCUGGCCACGCUGCACCCUGGCGACAUCGUCUCUUGCACGGUCCUCCUCUCGUCGACCGAUGACGGGUGCGCUGUUGUUCAGAUACCUGUGCAGAGCGUCACAGUAGACCCGCACGACAGCAGCAGCGGCUGCGUGACUGUUCUCGGCUACUAUGUGUACGACUGGGACGGCAAGGGGGUGCCUGCGGCGCCGGUGGUCGGCCACACGGUGGAUCUCGUGAUCGAGUUCUGCCCUGAAAUCGCCGUUCUGCGCGACGUGGCGCCGUUCGCGAUUCUGUCGAAUCGCCUUCGUCAGUUCCACCGCCUCCCGGCGGUGCGUCACUUCGCCGAGACCACGAUCGAGGCGUCGGCUUCUGCUCUGUCCGCGGCCAACCCUACAUCUCCUGUUGCGGCGCGCGGGCUUCUGGGGUUCUUCCCGUGGCGGACCGAGUACGCGGCGAAGGCGCGGCGCGCCGAGGAAAGCGAGGACGAUGAGGACGCAGCUGAAGGUCACAGCGGCCACGGCUCAGCUCAGGAUCGGCAGCAGCGGACGCGCCGCCGCAAACUGGAGGAGGCAAUCGACGCCUACGAACGCGGCAUGGAGACGGCGGUGCCGACGAGCCCGGAGGAAUUCCAGCGCUUGCUGCUCGCAAACCCGAACAGCAGCUAUGUUUGGACGCAAUACAUGGCCUACCACGUUGGCCUGCAGCAGUACGAGGCGGCGCGUCAGGUGGCCGAGAAGGCGCUCAGCACUAUCGGUGUGCGAGAGCAGGAGGAGCUGCUGAACGUCUGGGUGGCGUACCUCAACAUCGAGAACCUGUACGGCACGGAGGAGUCGCUCUCGGCGGUGUUCCGGCGCGCGCAGCAACGGCAGCUCAACCAGCUGGUCCUCUUUGAGCGACUCGCAGAUAUCUACGCGGCGUCCCGCAAGCCUAAUCAGCUGCUUGCAUUGUGCCGCGCCAUGACGGGCAAGUUCCGCACUGAGCGCCGCACGUGGGAGCGUCUCGGCAUCGUCCUUGUCGAUCAGGGCAAGCGCGAUCAGCUGAAGCGGACCUUGAAGGACAUGGGCGAUGUGCUGAAGCGAGAUGACGCCACGCUGGCUAUUGUGCACAUUGCCAUUCAUGAGUACAAGCAAGGCAGUCCCGAGAACGGCCGCGCGCUCUUCGAAGGCUUGCUGCGCAAGGUGCCGAAGCGGUCCGAUGUCUGGUCAAUCUACACUGAUCAAGAGAUGGGGCUGCUGAACCGCAAGGACCCGACGGCGUCAACGCUUCAGGUACGGCAGAUCUUCCAGCGCACGGUUGCGAUGAACUUUUCGGCAAAGGUGAUGCAGCAGGUCCUUACGCGCUUCCUCUCAUUCGAGAAGCUGCACGGCACGCCGGCCGAUGUCGAGUCGGUGAAGAGGUUCGCGCGCACCUACGUGGAGUCCAAAAUUCAGGCGUUAACCGACUCCGUCCCCGACGCGGCGGCCGCGUGA
This 2202-nucleotide ribosomal RNA is filed under the name Leishmania infantum. Its description in RNAcentral is "rRNA_biogenesis_protein-like_protein". The record is from RNAcentral. Lineage: Eukaryota; Euglenozoa; Kinetoplastea; Trypanosomatida; Trypanosomatidae.